This 351-nucleotide ribosomal RNA is filed under the name uncultured bacterium. RNAcentral's name for it is "bacterial SSU rRNA". It matches the Rfam family "Bacterial small subunit ribosomal RNA", at positions 8 to 350 of the family's 1533-position model. The record is from RNAcentral.
AGAGUUUGAUCAUGGCUCAGGAUGAACGCUAGCUACAGGCUUAACACAUGCAAGUCGAGGGGCAGCAUGUUGGUUGCUUGCAACCAAUGAUGGCGACCGGCGCACGGGUGAGUAACGCGUAUCCAACCUACCCUUGUCCAUCGGAUAACCCGUCGAAAGGCGGCCUAACACGAUAUGCGGUUCUCAGCAGGCAUCUAACGAGAACGAAAUGUGAAGGAGAAGGAUGGGGAUGCGUCUGAUUAGCUUGGUUGGCGGGGUAACGGCCACCAAGGCGACGAUCAGGUAGGGGUUCUGAGAGGACGGGUCCCCCANAUUGGAACUGAGACACGGUCCAAACUCCUACGGGAGGCA